This 809-nucleotide ribosomal RNA is filed under the name uncultured fungus. RNAcentral describes it as "eukaryotic LSU rRNA". The stretch from base 281 to 435 matches the Rfam family "5.8S ribosomal RNA". Lineage: Eukaryota; Fungi. The record is from RNAcentral.
AAAGUCGUAACAAGGUUUCCGUAGGUGAACCUGCGGAAGGAUCAUUAUCGAAACACACGAGUCGAGGAAGGAAAGGGAAGUGAAAAGGACUGUCGCUGGCUCUGUGUCCCAUGGAGCAAUGUGCACGUCCAUCGCUUUCCUCCUUUCUCGUUCGUAAAUUCACNCUCACACCUGUGCACCAUGGUAGAUCACCUUCGAGAGAGGGGAGGUCUAUGUUCAUCAUAUUUAUGAUCACGCUCGUCGUAUGGCCAUAGAAUGAUAAAUGUUAUGAAUGUAGUACAACUUUCAGCAACGGAUCUCUUGGCUCUCGCAUCGAUGAAGAACGCAGCGAAUUGCGAUAAGUAAUGUGAAUUGCAGAUUUCCAGUGAAUCAUCGAAUCUUUGAACGCACCUUGCGCUCCUUGGUAUUCCGAGGAGCAUGCCUGUUUGAGUGUCAUCGAGUUCUCAACCGUGUCUUGAUUGAUCACGGCUUGGAGAUGGGGGCUGCUGGGCCAUUUCAGGUUCGGCUCUCCUGAAAUGCAUUAGCAAAAUGGGUUGGCUAGUCUUUGGGACGUGCACGGCCUCGGACGUGAUAAUGAUCGUCGUGGCUGGAGCGUCUGAGAUAGCGAUAUUAGCCCAUUGGCUUCUAAUGAGAAAGAAAAGGACAGAGAUGGGAAAAGAUCCUUGCUCAGUCAAGCUUAGCUAUUAGCUGGAGUCCUAAUCCUGGACCCUGGCGAACGUACAGCAGGAUGGACUUGGAGAACAGAUCGUCUCUGACUGAACGCUUUCACAUUGAAACUUGACCUCAAAUCAGGUAGGACUACCCGCUGA